UACAGGGGGGGCAAGCGUUGUUCGGAAUUACUGGGCGUAAAGGGCUCGUAGGUGGCCAACUAAGUCAGACGUGAAAUCCCUCAGCUUAACUGGGGAACUGCGUCUGAUACUGGAUGGCUUGAGUUUGGGAGAGGGAUGCGGAAUUCCAGGUGUAGCGGUGAAAUGCGUAGAUAUCUGGAGGAACACCGGUGGCGAAGGCGGUAUCCUGGACCAACACUGACACUGAGGAGCGAAAGCCAGGGGAGCAAACGGG
This 253-nucleotide ribosomal RNA is filed under the name uncultured bacterium. RNAcentral's name for it is "partial 16S ribosomal RNA". It matches the Rfam family "Bacterial small subunit ribosomal RNA", at positions 524 to 776 of the family's 1533-position model. The record is from RNAcentral.